UUGUAACACGAACCGGUGCUAAAGGGUCCCUGCCCCGACAGCACCUGUCAGUAACCGUUGGGCAGGACCCUUUAGCACCGGUUCGUGUUACGAA
Molecule: microRNA precursor, 94 nt
Filed under: Sorghum bicolor (sorghum)
Lineage: Eukaryota; Viridiplantae; Streptophyta; Magnoliopsida; Poales; Poaceae
Description: MIR5387 microRNA precursor family
Rfam family: MIR5387 microRNA precursor family
Source: Rfam by way of RNAcentral